GCCGCGGGCAGCUAAGGCCCGCAGCCCCUUCGCCUCCAGUCUGGGAGCUCCCGGUCCCACUCUGCCAUUGCCUAUGGGGAUCCGAGAGUUUCCCGGCGGCGCACCCGGGGGCAAAAGCAUCGCCAUUGGUAUGAGGAGGUCACCGGACGUCAGCCCCAGGAGACUGUCCGACAUCAGCCCCCAGCUCCGGCAGCUCAAGUAUUUGGUGGUGGACGAGGCGAUUAAGGAGGAUCUGAAAUGGUCGCGCUCGGUGGAGGACCUCACCAGCGGGCCCGUGGGGCUCACGUCCAUCGAGGAGCGGAUCCUGCGCAUCACCGGCUACUACGGCUACCAGCCCUGGGCGGCGAGCUACAAAAGGGAGGAGCGCCCCCGGGACCCCCCGGGCCCGGCAGAGGCCCAGGCGCCGGUGGGGACCGACACAGGCGGGAGACCGAGCCCUCGCUGCUGGAGAUGUUCCCAGGCGCAGCUCAAGAAGAUCUUCUGGGGCGUGGCAGUGGUGCUGUGCGUGUGUUCCUCCUGGGCCGGUGCCACCCAGCUCGCCAAGCUGACCUUCAGGAAGUUCGAUGCUCCCUUCACCCUGACGUGGUUUGCCACCAACUGGAACUUUUUAUUCUUCCCGUUGUACUACGCGGGCCACGUCUGCAAGUCGGCAGAGAAACAGUCGGUGAAGCAGAGAUACAGGGAAUGCUGUCGAUUUUUUGGAGACAAUGGCUUGACUUUGAAGGUGUUUGUUACCAAGGCAGCACCCUUUGGUGUUCUUUGGACACUCACAAACUACCUGUACUUACAUGCAAUAAAGAAAAUAAACACUACGGACGUGUCCGUAUUGUUCUGCUGCAACAAAGCCUUUGUGUUUUUGCUCUCGUGGAUCGUUCUCAGGGACAGGUUCAUGGGAGUGAGGAUCGUGGCCGCCAUCCUCGCCAUCGCUGGGAUCGUGAUGAUGACCUACGCGGAUGGCUUCCACAGCCACUCUGUCAUCGGCAUAGCCCUGGUGGUGGGCUCGGCCUCCGUGUCCGCACUCUACAAGGUCCUGUUCAAGCUCCUCCUGGGCAGUGCUAAGUUUGGAGAAGCCGCCUUAUUUCUGUCCAUUCUGGGUGUGUUUAACAUCCUCUUCAUCACCUGUAUUCCUGUCAUCCUCUACUUUACCAAAGUGGAACACUGGAGCUCUUUCGAUGACAUUCCAUGGGGAAACCUUUGUGGAUUUUCCGUCCUCUUAUUGACAUUCAAUAUUGUAUUAAAUUUUGGAAUUGCUGUUACAUAUCCCACUCUGAUGUCUCUUGGAAUCGUCCUCAGUGUACCUGUGAAUGCAGUUGUUGAUCGCUACACCAGUAAGAUCGUCUUCAACGGGGUCCGGGUCAUCGCCAUGGUCAUCAUCGGCCUGGGCUUCCUCCUCCUGCUUCUGCCCGAGGAGUGGGACGUCUGGUUGAUGAAGCUGCUCACCCGCCUGAAAGUGAGGAAAAAGGAGGAGGCGGCGGAGGGCGGCGCGGACCUGGGCUCGGGACCUCAGAACAAGGGCGGAAGGGCCCGGCCCUCCUUCGCCCGCUGACGGUCUGCCCGAGAACUCUGUGUGACGCUCGCGUGGGUGAUUUGGAAUCUCUUCCCCGCAGGGGGAACCUCGGUUUGGUGAGGUGUACAUACCUGUACAGUUUUGGUAAUCUGCGGUAGAGCAGCAGUUUUCAUCUAUAUUGUUCUCUGAUGUCUCCCAAGCCCCUAAAACAGUGCCUGGCACAGAGUAAGUUCUCAAUAAAUAUCUGUUGAGUGAAUGAAUGAAAUCUUUGUAAGUGCUGUUCUAAGUGCUCUGCUUGGAUUAUUCCAUUUAACUUUCACAAGAAACCUAAGUAGAUAUUACAAUCAUCAACAUUUUCAGUUAAGGAAACCCAUGUAUGUAAAAGUUCAGGAACCUGUCCAAGGUCACACAGCUUGACAUCACUGGCGGGGGAGGGGGGCAGGAUUCAAGCCCAGUCUGGUUCUGAACCUACACUCUUAUCCACUGAACUUUGCUGCCUCUAAUACUGCCUGUGUUUCCCUUCUUGAUUUAACUCCUGCUGAGCUCCCGCUGCAUUUGGUGCGUGCCUCUCUCAUAGGUCUUAUUACUCUUUAUUAGAGGAGAGUAUGGCCUGUGUCCUCCAUAAGACUGAGCUUCUCAAGGACCGAGAUCUAUCCUUAUUCAUCUUUAUUUCCCCAAGGCUGACCACAGUGCCUGGCACUGUGCAAGCUAUGUAAAUACAGAGCAAGAAGCAUGAAAGAAGGAUCAACGGUUCCCAACUGGCAGCUGAAGCAUUAGUAGAUCCGAUGAAAAGGAAAAGCUUAGAAAGAGAAGCUUUCCUGGAGAAAGAAUACUACGAGUUCCAGUUUUGAACUUAUUGCAGUGAUGGAAGGACAAACAAAUGGAGAUAGCCGUCAAGGGACUUGGAAAGAGAAAAUGGGCACAAAGGUUCCAUUAGGACUAAAACAUAGACUUCCAAGUCUUUUUGAAAGAAGUGCUAACUGAAGCUCCGGGGGUGAAUCAGCUCACCAUGGAAAACAGAAUGCAAAGAAAAGAAAAAGAGAGAAAAAAAGGCAGCAUCUUGGAGCGUACCUAUAGUUAAUAGGAGGAAAAAGGGCAAGGAGUCAGCAUAGAGAUCUAAAAGAAAUUCAGAAGGAUCUCUGCAGGAACACUGAAGUCAAAGGAAUCUUUCUUGUUUGUGUCCCUGAGUAGGUGUCUGUGAUGACUGCUUUGUAAAACAGUACAGAUUAUAAAUAAAAAAGUCCGUGGGCAGCAACAGAAAAACAACACAUACGUUUUCAGUGCUACUGGGUCUGUCUGGCCCUGCCCACCAUUGGUUUGGGGAGCAACUUAGUUCAGACCGGAGAAUACCCACAUGAAACUCCUCUCGAUGGUAACACGACAUGUCUUCCACCUCUUCACACUGACUUCUCUUCGCCUCCUCUCUCCUCCAAACAUAGGCUGGAGAUUACACCCUCUCUGUAUCAAAACAGCACAUCUGAAAUCAUCUCAUGGCACCCACGUUCUUUUACUUGCCCAUAGUCUCCCAAAUUUUGUAAGGUGAAUGUGGCCUCUCCAACUCUUAUCCUGCAUUAUUGCUGUUGUUAUUAACAUGUAUAUAUAUACAUAUAUAUAUAUAUAUUUUUUUACCAUAUCUACACCUCAAAAUUUCUCUCUUCUAGUUGUUUUUGCUCUGUUGGCUAGACCACAGAGCUCCUUGAGAGUAAGCGGGUGGGGGAAGGGGCAUUAUUGCAAUUCAUUGAAUCUCUUUGGUAAUACUUUCCUUAUCUCUGCCCUAGGCCUACUACUGACCAGUAGGAAUUGCUUAGCUGCCCAAGUGACAGUUAGCACUAGAGACUACUGACUUUUGACCUUGAAGGCCACAGAAGAUGGUAAAUCCAUUAAAAACUUAGUCAUCACACUAUAAAUAUUCUGAAUGACCAUUAUUUUUACCUUUCUGUGAAUCAAAUGUACUAAAGAUGACCUUUCUCAGGCCAACUACUCUACUUUACUCAAAAAUUAUGACACGUAUCAUGCAUAUAUGUGACAUAUAUUCAUUCUCAUUCACAGAAGAGUGUAUAAGAUGUACUUGUACAGUUUAUUUAAAGAAUAAUUAUAAAACAAAUACCCAGUUUCAGAAACAGAACAUUGUCAGCCCCUCAGAAGCCCUCCCUGGUCAUAUCCCAUUUCUCUUUUCUUAAUAGUUUUGCUAUUUAAUGUAUGUAUCCUUAACAGGAGAGUUGAGUUUUGCAUUUCUGAACCUUAUGUAAGUGGAAACACAUAGUAUCUAUUCUUUGAUUGACUUGCUUCUUUCACUCAAUACUGAGACUCAUCAUAUUAUUAUAAAUGGUUAUAGUUUAUAUAGUUUAUAUAGUUUAUAUGGUUAUAGUUGUUGUUCAUUUUCAUUGGUGCAUUAUACUUCACCUUAUGACAUCAUAAUUUAUCCAUUCUAUUGUUGAUAUAAGUUUGGACUGUAUGUUGUUUUUAGCUGUUACAAACUUGCAGAUAUACGAGAGAUUCUGAAUAGAAUUGCUGAGCGACAGCAAAUGUGUAUCUUCAACUUUACUAAAGUCACAGUUUUCCAAAGUGACUGUGUCAAUUUAUACUACCAUUAGAGUACCUCUUGUUGCGGAGCAUGGACUCUAGGUGCGUGGGCUUCAGUAGUUGUAGUUGUGGCUCACGGGCUCUGGCGCACAGGCUUAGUUGUUCGGUGGCAUGUGGGAUCUUUCUGGACCGGGGAUCAAACCCAUGUCCUCUAGAUUGGCAGGUGGAUUCUUAACCACUGCGCCACCAGGGAAGCCUGAUGUAGGUGUUUUUUAUAUAUUCUGGGUACUAAUUCCUCGUUAUAUGCUUUGCAAACUUCUUCUCCCAUAUUGUGACUCUUCCACUCACUUUAUGGUGUUAUUUGGUAAACAAAAGUCCUUAAUUUUAAUGUAGUUGAAUUUAUUGAUCUUUUCCUUUAUGGCUAAAAAAAAAAUUAUUCUCAAUCCUAAAGUCAUAAAAUCAUUCUUCCAUACAGGUCCACAAAAUUUAUCUGAAAUACUUGGAGACAGAUGUGUUCUGGAAUACAGACUUUUUUGGAUAUUGGAAAGGUACCAUGGAACGUACAAUGUAUACUGUGUAGCAAGAACUGGGACAGUACUAUAAUCAAAAAUAUCAGUAUUUCUACAGCAAAACAUAUAGUCAACUAAGUGAUAUAUAAAUAAUGACUAUCGUGACACUAAGUUACAUUUUUCAACAAAUGAGUUCCAAAGAGUUUGAUGUUUCAAGGUUUGGGGAUUUUGUAAUUAGUACAAAAGUUAUGGUGGCCUCAUACAAUAAAAAUGGAAUUAUUUCAAAGUUUGAAGGAACUUACCAGUGGAACCAUUGACCUGGAAUUUAUGUGUGAACCUUCAUUACUACUGAUUCAAAUUUUUAAUGGUUUGGGACUAUUCAUAUUUUCUUCUCUUUAGUCAGCUAGUUGUAUUUCUUGAGAUUUGUAUAAUCAUCUACAUUUUAUUUGCAUCAAAUUGUUUACAAGAUGUUGUGUUUUGAUUUCUAAAGUAUAGUUUUUGUUAUUGACAUAGGUUGUUAACAUCUCUCUUUUUAUUGCUCAAUACUGUUAAAUAUUUGUCAUUUUUUUUAGUCUUUUCCAAAAAAAAAAAAUCAACUUCUGGAUUUUUACAAUCUCCUCUGUGCAGUGGUGUGCUAGUUAAUUAGCUCUGAACAUAACGAAACAAAACACGACCAGAAGAGGUGUGCACAGUUGGCUCUCCUGAGCCAGUACAAGGCAGUGUCCGGCACACCACUACUUUCAUUUCCCCUUUCAUUCAUUUCUGCUUUCAGCAUUAUGUCCCUCCUUCCACUUUCCUUAAUUUUGCUCUCCUUUUUCUAACUUCUUGAAAGGGAAUGUUUAGUUAAAGACCUUUCAGCCUCUUUUCUAAUGUACUUACUUAAGGCUAUAAACUUCCCUCUACGUAUUAUACGUUAACUUUAUUCCACAGGUGUUGCUAUUGUAUUUUAUUAUUCAGCUCAAAAAAUUUUCUCAUUACCAUUAUGACUCUUUGGCUGUGGGUUACGUGGGCUUGUUUUUAUAGUUCUUUAUUGAUUUCUAGCUUAACAGCACUGUGCUCAAAAAACACGUGCUGAAUGAUUUCAAUCUUUAAAAUUCGUUGAGAGUUGCUUUACAGCUAAGUAUGCAGUUGAUUUUGGUAAUAUGUCAUGUUUGCGUUCCAAAACACAUGUUCUGAUUUUGGUUGUGUUUUUCUGUGUAUAUUCAUUAGGUCAAGUUUGUACAUCAUGUUAUUCAAAUUUUCUGUACCCUUACUGAUUUUCCUUUUGUUUGUCUUAACAAUGACUGGGAAAGGCCUGUUAAAAUCACCCACUAUGGCCAUAUAUUUUUUCUUUAUAAUUUCAUCGAUUCCCUUUAUAUAUUAUAUAUAUAUAUAUUUAUUAUUAAGUGCAUAAAAAUUUUUAACUUUAAAUAUAUUUUUUUCAACUCAUAAGUCAUUCAAGACUCCUUCCAUCCUUUUUGUAUCUCAUUAGUCAUACUUAAAAGAUACUAUCUUUAUAUAAACUGCCCUUGAUAGACACAGUAUAAAAUAAUUGGUGGCCCUGGUAAAGCCAAAGCAAUCCACUUAUUAGACUCCAUUAACUAUUACAGAAAUCCUUCCCAUAUUGUAGAACACAUGUUUGGUGGUACUUAGGCUUCACACAGCCAACCUGAAAAUCUGCGUAUGUUUAUUUGUAAAGGAUUAAAUGCCAGCACUGAGUGCAGAGCUGUAAACUGCUUGUGAGUUUUAUAAGCACUUAGAAUUCAACAGGACUAGACGAUGGCGCAGAUGGGAUCUUUAAGAGACCUGGACGACUGACCUGUAUCUACAAACGUGCUUUCAAAUAAAGAUUCUGCUGACAUAUUCACUAAAAUAUUAAAAAGAGCAUCUUUCAAAA
RNA transcript from Globicephala melas (long-finned pilot whale), 6415 nucleotides. It is a transcript of the gene named solute carrier family 35 member F3, with no coding region annotated. The record is from RefSeq and is a predicted model, not a curated record. NCBI's taxonomy places the organism in Eukaryota, Metazoa, Chordata, Mammalia, Artiodactyla, Delphinidae.